RNAcentral lists this ribosomal RNA (497 nucleotides) under uncultured bacterium. RNAcentral describes it as "partial 16S ribosomal RNA". It matches the Rfam family "Bacterial small subunit ribosomal RNA", at positions 28 to 507 of the family's 1533-position model. The record is from RNAcentral.
GAUGAACGCUGGCGGCGUGCCUAAUACAUGCCAGUCGAGCGAACGGACGAGAAGCUUGCUUCUCUGAUGUUAGCGGCGGACGGGUGAGUAACACGUGGAUAACCUACCUAUAAGACUGGGAUAACUUCGGGAAACCGUAGCUAAUACCGGAUAAUAUUUUGAACCGCAUGGUUCAAAAGUGAAAGACGGUCUUGCUGUCACUUAUAGAUGGAUCCGCGCUGCAUUAGCUAGUUGGUAAGGUAACGGCUUACCAAGGCAACGAUGCAUAGCCGACCUGAGAGGGUGAUCGGCUACACUGGAACUGAGACACGGUCCAGACUCCUACGGGAGGCAGCAGUAGGGAAUCUUCCGCAAUGGGCGAAAGCCUGACGGAGCAACGCCGCGUGAGUGAUGAAGGUCUUCGGAUCGUAAAACUCUGUUAUUAGGGAAGAACAUAUGUGUAAGUAACUGUGCACAUCUUGACGGUACCUAAUCAGAAAGCCACGGCUAACUACGUG